UUUUUUUUUUUUGCAGAGCAGAACAAGUUCUAGUUGCUGAGCUUAUACUCGAUAAUUGUUUGAAAUAUGAAGUGAUUCGAUUCUCAGCAGCGAAGGGGAGGAGCGAGGCGGGAGGCUUGAGCAGAACGUAGCAAACUACCGAGUAUGUAUUUUUGGAGCAUGGGUGUCACUUUUAUUUUUGAAUUGUUUAAAAAAAACACAUUUCAAGUUUCAAAACAUGCUUAAACAAAUCGUACAUGGUAAUAUGAAUGUAUACUACACAUGUGCGAAGUUUGAUGAUGAAAAAUAUGUUAAACACAUGAGCUACGUAAAAAUGGAAAAUUCAUGAUUUGAAAAUGCGACUGUGCACUGUUCACCACUAAAAACCCACGUUUUGUAUCUUUGUGCGUAGCUCACAUGUUAACUUAUUUCAUCAUCAAACUCUGGGCACCCGUGUUAAGGCUACGAAUUUGCCUUGGCGUUUCUUUAAACUUCAUAUGUUGAUUUUCGAACUAUGAAUGAAGUGCUCAGUGUUGCAAAUUGACCUUUUAGCAAACUAUUGGGCUGCAUUAUCGAGCAGGUCCAAAGGGUGAAGGUGUAUGAGAAAAAAAGACCAUACGUUUCGAGAGAGCAAGUGCGAAGCACUGAUUCUGAAUGCAGAUAAUAUGGGCACUGAUUCUGAAUGCAGAUAAUAUGGGCAUAACCAACAUGGGAGGACGAUGCCAUCUUCGCAACUGCCAAACUAGUCAUUACUAGUAAAAUGCCCGUGCGUUGCUACGGGCUGCAAUGCUUAUAACAUGUCGGUGCGUGGUCGACCAUUUUUCGGAUAUAGGACAAUGGGCAUGUGUUGCAACAGGGUAUAUAUUUUCUUAAAGCUCAACACUAACCGUGUCUAACAUAGUUAUAGGAACCUCGUGCACAUUAGACAACAUGUCUUGCACAUUAGUAAAAUGCCCACGAAAUGUUCUGUAGAUGAAAAGAACACUCACAUAUUUUGUCCCUCAUAUUUUAUUCUGAGUUCAUGGAUAAAUGUGCCAAACAAAGACACUAUUGCAUUUGCGUGCUGCCAAAUUCUUAAGAAAUGUUAUAAUUCCAUGGUCUUUAUUCUUCAUUGUCGAUAGUGUCAGCUCUGCUGGAAGGAUCAACCAUUAAUACACACAAAUAUUAUGAAUAACAUAAUCUUAAACCUAAGGCAUUACUUCCAGAAACAAAUCAAUGAUUUUAGAAAUGCAGGAUUUGUCCAGCCUGGGAACCAAACAACAACUUCAACCAAAGCAUGGGUGAAAAAAAUGAAAGGAAGACGAGGUAGACAACAGCAUUGACUGCGGCACCAGCUAGACUCAGGGAAGUGACGGGAGGCGAGGGGAUAGGGGAAAGGGAGGACAUGCGCCUCUCACACCGAAGCAAUAUGCCACAGAAGACACUUGGUGAUCCCAUUGAUCCAUACCACAUCCUGUGUGAGGUUAAAUAGUACCACUUUCUCUGUAAAAUCUGCAUGACCAAAAAAAAUUCCAGUCAACAGGAUUUGGCAUGACCAAACAUAAUAGUUCGGAUCAACAAUAAGAGGCGAAUCAUGAAUAGAAGCAUAACACCUGUGUACCAGAACCAUUCUUCUAGACAUGUAAUCAGUAAAAUUUCCAGCUCAACUAAAUACUAAGAAAAGAUAACCAAACAAACUCAAAAAUUAAAAUUGAAAUGAAGUCAUUGGCAUCAACUGCAGGAUUCACCUACAAUAGCUUAAAAAAAUGCUGUGUAGCUCAAAUUUUCAGCACAACAACACAUUCUCCACAAUAGCAUCGAAUUUCCGCAUCUUAUUUGGAAAAUAAUGAACAACAUACACAAGAGAUUGAGAGGGGAAGAUAUUUCAUCAUCGUUACCUUGUGGUUACUGACGGAUAGAGCAGCACGUUGCAUAGGAGAUCAGAGCGUGCUGCAGGGAGGAGGACCGUGGCACAAAUGAGAUCGAGGCGGAGCUCGAACUCGAAGGACGCUUCAGAACACCUGGCAUAACAUCAUAAACAUUUUCAGAGACUGGAGAUGCUGCUGGCACUCGAGAUUCAUUUUUCACAACAGCAUCUGAAUCCUCCAACUCCAGUAACACAUUGCACGAGUGGAAAUCCUAAAUCGAUGCCUACUUAUUCAUGUCUCCAGUCCGAACUAAGAGUAAUCUAGGUUACACACGCAGUGUAACGUGUCCAGUUAGGAAAAUUUGGAAAGGUUAGGAAUUUUUUAUUGUGAGAGUAAAAAAAUCAACGUGAGGAGAUAUGGUGGUGGGAUGUGAGACAAAAAUAAACCGAACGAAAAUAAACCAGACGAAAUAUAGCCAGAUGAAAAAAAAUCAUGGAUGCAAUCCUACCAACUCCUUUAUUAGGAGUAGAGAUCAGCAAAAGGCAAAAUAUAUUGUGCCAGGGUGAUAUGGAAGCGAAGGAAACAAAAGGUUCCCUAACGAAGGGGCAGAAUAUUUUACCUGAGAAACAUAACCACAAAGGAUUGCACAUAGAACCAAAGUGAUGAACCUGACGUCUCCUGCUUCUGUAAAGGCCCAAAAUAGCCCUCCAAAGCCGAACAGAAGAGGAACGUUUGCAGCAUAUUGUGUCACUGCCCAACUGCACAGCAGGUCACACUCUGAAAUGUUUCGUUUCUAAAUACACGUAUGCAAGCAUUUAGAAUGUUACUACUACUCGGCACUGGAAACGAGCAGUACCUGCCAACAAUGUUGACGACAGAUUCUUUCUUGUUCUUAUCAGCGCCAGUAUCUGAAUCAUAAACGUCAUUGCUGCUAGUGUAAAAAUACAAUACGUUCAGAGCAGGGAAAUCAAUGGUUGAACACUGCUAUUGAUAUCAACAUCGAUUUACUUGUCAGAGUGUAUGUUGUAGUAAUAUUUUUAUGCAUGUGAGUUUUACCUCAGAUUGAGCCAGGUGAUCACAAGGAUAGCAGCAGCCAAGAGGCCAAAGUAGCGUCUGGCAAAGAACAGCCCCGCAUGGUUAUAAGCAGCAGCAGUGCCUACCUGCAAGUGCAAGCAACCGUCAAUGCAAAUGUGUAAGGUGAUCGUAGUUGCAAACCACCAAAUACUGCGAUCAAUACUCAUUCUGAUUUGCAUGCCAGCACACUAACAGGUUAUGCAAUUCUGAAUUGCAGAGCGAAGCAUUGGCAAGGGCAAUGGGGAGGGAAGAAUUUGGGGAACUCACGGUGAGUGGCACGAGCGCCACGGAGUAGAUGGGCAGCUUGGCCGCUCUCCAGAGCAGCGUCGCGCGUGAGAGCUCGCCGGCGUCCCCGUCUCCGCCGGACGCCGCUGCGGCCGAGCACCGCACUCGCCGUAGCGCGCGACGCCUUCUCGCGGCCUCUACAGAGACGGCGACGCUGCCACGGGGAGAGGAAGGCGCGUGAGGGGAGACGAGGAGAGGCGCGAGUGCAAUGCCGGCGAGCGGCAUCGGCUCGGAGGCGUUGGCUGGGGGAGCUUAGCUUUGUUCAGGAGCGGCACUCCAUCUCCGUCGGCAGCUGGGAGCGCGGGUGCAUGGAUAAGGCUGAGGGGAACGGAGACGUCGACGCGCGGCAGGCCGUGGGCGGGCGGGCGAAGCGAGAAAGGUUUUUCUUGAGUUUUGUUUUAGCUCGUCACGUAGCGCGACCUCCUCAUUGCCUGCUGCCACCCCGCGCUACCGCCUCCGUGCGCAGGUUCCGCUCGUGGAGCGUGACGAGCGCAUGGCCUACCUUCACGGCGGCCUGGUCCUCCCCACUAUCGUGAAGCUGGCACGCAUCGCCGCCGCAAUUGCCCAGGAUGGCGGAUGAAGAUCCUGCUACAGCGACGUGGGUGAGGGAUGCAGCCGAGGAUGGAGGGAUGAUUUCCGUGGCUAACCCCUCUCUAUAACAACCACCUUUUUUUGCGAGGAUAUAACAAUCACUUAGAAAAGGCAAAGAUCAAUGCAUUAGGAUAAUUAGGAUUUGUAAUUGAUUGUCAUAAAACUAAAUUUUAUUAAUCGAUAACGUGUUAUCCGUCCCUGCCCGUUUAUAACGUGUCUAGUUAGGAAACUUUGAAAAAGUUAGGAAAGUUUUUAUUGUGAGGGUAAAAAAAUCAACGUGAGGAGAUAUGAUGAUGGGGUGUGAGACGAAAAUAAACCGAACGAAAAUAAACCAGGCGAAAUAUAACCAGACGAAAAUAAACCGUGGACGCAAUCCUACCAACUCAGACAUUAGGAGUAGAGAUUCAGUGAAGCACCCGGAGCUAUUUGCUCAAACAUACUACUAUAUCAUCCGUCAUGCAAAAUCAAAAAGGAAGGGUUCCAAGUGUUCAACUCCAUAAUUAUGUUUUAUACUAAGAUAAGAUAGAGUACGUACAGCGGUACAGGGGAAGUUCUAAUUAAAGUUCAACACUGCAAGGCUCCAGGCAUAAGUAGCAACAGACAUUGGCAUGCAUAAACUCACCAAUCACAGGGGCAUUUAUAUAUAUCGAUAUAACACACCGAUGGAAGCUAACAUAGAUACUAAUUCACCACUUAG
This 4473-nucleotide long non-coding RNA is filed under the name Triticum aestivum (bread wheat). Its description in RNAcentral is "long non-coding RNA (TAES_LNC027831)". Lineage: Eukaryota; Viridiplantae; Streptophyta; Magnoliopsida; Poales; Poaceae. The record is from RNAcentral.